UUAGACAGAGGUCUUGUGUGGCUACCCUAA
This 30-nucleotide non-coding RNA is filed under the name Homo sapiens (human). The record is from RNAcentral. Lineage: Eukaryota; Metazoa; Chordata; Mammalia; Primates; Hominidae.